This 108-nucleotide non-coding RNA is filed under the name Dethiosulfatibacter aminovorans. RNAcentral describes it as "TPP sequence". It matches the Rfam family "TPP riboswitch aptamer (THI element)". Rfam says of the family: Vitamin B(1) in its active form thiamin pyrophosphate (TPP) is an essential coenzyme that is synthesised by coupling of pyrimidine and thiazole moieties in bacteria. The previously detected thiamin-regulatory element, thi box was extended, resulting in a new, highly conserved RNA secondary structure, the THI element, which is widely distributed in eubacteria and also occurs in some archaea. Lineage: Bacteria; Bacillati; Bacillota; Tissierellia. RNAcentral also lists the same sequence under 1 other name. The record is from RNAcentral.
CAUUUAGGACAUGGGGGCCGGUGAACCGGCUGAGAUAGAACUGAUACUGUUCUUACCAUUUACCUGAUCUGGAUAAUGCCAGCGUAGGGAGAUUCGAUAAAGAAAUAU